This 406-nucleotide ribosomal RNA is filed under the name uncultured bacterium. Its description in RNAcentral is "partial 16S ribosomal RNA". It matches the Rfam family "Bacterial small subunit ribosomal RNA", at positions 30 to 526 of the family's 1533-position model. The record is from RNAcentral.
AUUGAACGCUGGCGGCAGGCUUAACACAUGCAAGUCGAACGAGUGGCGGACGGGUGAGUAAUGUCUGGGAAACUGCCUGAUGGAGGGGGAUAACUACUGGAAACGGUAGCUAAUACCGCAUACCAUCGGAUGUGCCCAGAUGGGAUUAGCUAGUAGGUGGGGUAAAGGCUCACCUAGGCGACGAUCCCUAGCUGGUCGGAGAGGAUGACCAGACACACUGGAACGGAGACACGGUCCAGACUCCUACGUGAGGCAGCAGUGGGGAAUAUUGCACAAGGGGCGCAAGCCUGAUGCAGCCAUGCCGCGUGUAUGAAGAAGGCCUUCGGGUUGUAAAGUACUUGCAGCGGGGAGGCGUUACCCGCAGAAGAAGCACCGGCUAACUCCGUGCCAGCAGCCGCGGUAAUAC